CGGGGGGCAGCAGUGGGGAAUAUUGGACAAUGGGGGCAACCCUGAUCCAGCCAUGCCGCGUGUGUGAAGAAGGCCUUUUGGUUGUAAAGCACUUUAAGCAGGGAGGAGAGGCUAAUGGUUAAUACCCAUUAGAUUAGACGUUACCUGCAGAAUAAGCACCGGCUAACUCUGUGCCAGCAGCCGCGGUAAUACAGAGGGUGCGAGCGUUAAUCGGAAUUACUGGGCGUAAAGCGAGUGUAGGUGGCUCAUUAAGUCACAUGUGAAAUCCCCGGGCUUAACCUGGGAACUGCAUGUGAUACUGGUGGUGCUAGAAUAUGUGAGAGGGAAGUAGAAUUCCAGGUGUAGCGGUGAAAUGCGUAGAGAUCUGGAGGAAUACCGAUGGCGAAGGCAGCUUCCUGGCAUAAUAUUGACACUGAGAUUCGAAAGCGUGGGUAGCAAACAGGAUUAGAUACCCCGGU
RNAcentral lists this ribosomal RNA (458 nucleotides) under uncultured Enhydrobacter sp. RNAcentral describes it as "bacterial SSU rRNA". It matches the Rfam family "Bacterial small subunit ribosomal RNA", at positions 342 to 791 of the family's 1533-position model. The record is from RNAcentral. Lineage: Bacteria; Pseudomonadati; Pseudomonadota; Alphaproteobacteria; Hyphomicrobiales.